GAUGAACGCUGGCGGCGUGCCUAAUACAUGCAAGUCGAGCGAACAGAUGAGGAGCUUGCUCCUCUGACGUUAGCGGCGGACGGGUGAGUAACACGUGGAUAACCUACCUAUAAGACUGGGAUAACUUCGGGAAACCGGAGCUAAUACCGGAUAAUAUAUUGAACCGCAUGGUUCAAUAGUGAAAGACGGUUUUGCUGUCACUUAUAGAUGGAUCCGCGCCGCAUUAGCUAGUUGGUAAGGUAACGGCUUACCAAGGCAACGAUGCGUAGCCGACCUGAGAGGGUGAUCGGCCACACUGGAACUGAGGCACGGUCCAGACUCCUACGGGAGGCAGCAGUAGGGAAUCUGCCGCAAUGGGCGAAAGCCUGACGGAGCAACGCCGCGUGAGUGAUGAAGGUCUUCGGAUCGUAAAACUCUGUUAUUAGGGAAGAACAAAUGUGUAAGUAACUAUGCACGUCUUGACGGUACCUAAUCAGAAAGCCACGGCUAACUACGUG
RNAcentral lists this ribosomal RNA (497 nucleotides) under uncultured bacterium. RNAcentral's name for it is "partial 16S ribosomal RNA". It matches the Rfam family "Bacterial small subunit ribosomal RNA", at positions 28 to 507 of the family's 1533-position model. The record is from RNAcentral.